UUUCCGUAGGUGAACCCGCGGAGGGAUCAUUAUCGUACAAAAGGUGAGGGGCAUGCAAGUGCUGACACUGGCACAAAAGUCGUGCACGCCCGAGUGUGUCCUCUUGCAUAAUAAUCCCUCUCACCCUUUGGGCAUCACCGCGUGGGGACCCUUCGGGUUCAUCUCGGAGGGGGGCGCGCGUUUUCACAAAAACCCCCCUUUAAAAAGUGUCGACUGACGACAUCUAUGCAAUCAAUACAACUUUCAACAACGGAUCUCUUGGUUCUC
This 267-nucleotide unclassified non-coding RNA is filed under the name plant metagenome. RNAcentral describes it as "partial contains small subunit ribosomal RNA, internal transcribed spacer 1, and 5.8S ribosomal RNA". The record is from RNAcentral.